This is a non-coding RNA of Ceratobasidium sp. AG-I, 92 nucleotides long. The record is from the annotation of a GenBank genome assembly. NCBI's taxonomy places the organism in Eukaryota, Fungi, Basidiomycota, Agaricomycetes, Cantharellales, Ceratobasidiaceae.
GCCUUUAUAGCUCAGUGGUAGAGCGCAUCACUCGUAUUCCAUAAUUGGUACUCGUCAUGAUGAGGUCCGUUGUUCAAUCCAGCGUGGAGGCA